Long non-coding RNA from Taeniopygia guttata (zebra finch), 2285 nucleotides. The record is from Ensembl. Lineage: Eukaryota; Metazoa; Chordata; Aves; Passeriformes; Estrildidae.
GCUGUAACUUCCAGAGUGAGUAACUCCUGCAAGGAAAUCGUUACUGGGCUCUGCUGUCACGGGCUAUUUUGGGACCUGUGGUCUCUGCAACAGAAUUUCAAACCUUUGUUACCCCAUGCAUCAUUAGCAGAUCUGUGUGGUUGUCUUUAAAGGCACAAAAAAAAAAAAAAAAAAAAAAAGUAGUAAAUAUUAAACACCACAAAGCAAAGCCAAGUUCUUGAAUAAUAACUGAGAACAAAGGAAAAUGAGAUCAAACAAAUACAAUUUUCAAUAAAUGGCCCAGAUAUUCACAGGGGAAUCUCUGCAAUACUUUCUCCUGAAUCAAUGCCCUGAUUUAAAUCACCAUUCUUCACACACAGGCUUUCUUUUUCCUCAUUCAGCUUCGAAUUUGGUCAUUAGUUAUUGGAACCAAGUGCAUUUUGGCAAUUUUAGUAUUAAAAAACAUCCAAAUGUUCCUUGGAUUCCCAGCAAAAGAAGGUCCAGCCCCACAUUCUUACCAGGAAUAUUUUUACUGGCCAGCCCAUGAAUGUGCUGCAAAUGGGAAUUCCAAAUAAAUCAGUCUCAGAUUCCCUAAAAGCACCAAUUUUCUAGGAACUGGAAACUGAUAGUGACAAUUCACAGGGAAUUACAAAAUCAUUUCCCACCAAAAAAAAGGGGAAAUCCUAAUUCUGGGGGUGAAAGCAUUCCAUAGGGUGAAUCCAUACAUGUCCAUAGCUGCUCCUGGGAUCUGGCUAAUUGUAAACCUGGAAGAAAAUUGCUGUGAUUAACUGAGGAGCUGGGAUGGACUGGGAGGGAGCAGGCAUGGGACCAGCAAUUUGUUUGGAGAAGAUAAACCAGCCCAUGAUUUCUCCCUGCCAGCAGAACCUGCCAUUUCCAGCAUGCCCAUAAUAUUUUGUCCUUAAAAACUUGUUACACACACAAAAAAAACUUGUUCAAUAUGGAAAACUGGCCUAAAGAAGGUAAUGCAAGAGAAACAUUCCCAAAAAAUUUUAUGAGGCUUUCAAAUGUUCUGCUGCUCAGUUAUAAAAGGUUUCCAUAGGAACUGUCACCCAACGUGCUGUGCCUGAUUUCUCCAUGUUCAGAGUGAAAAAAAUCCAUCCCCUUCCUGUUUUCCAGGUUCCCUGGCUGAGGUUUUUUGCCUUGUUUAUGGAGAUUUUCUUGGCUCAGCUGCAAUAGAAAUAAAUGAUUAAGGAGGUUUUUAUUAUUAUUUUGCAGCAAUUAGAUCAUGUUAAUUACUCAACCUUUAAUCCUGCAUGCGAUUUGCACUAAUUAUGCCAAGAGAAUGGAUAUUAGGAGCAAUUUUGUGGAAGUGACAGAAUGUUGGAGAAGUGAAAAGAAGGAUAUUAAACUCUCUGACUGCAUUCCCAGUUUCCUGCUGCUGGUGCCAGCCCAUCUCGGGGUGUCUGCCCAAUUUCAUUACCUCAGUGCAAUGGAAGAGUCUUAAAAUUGGAAAAAUCCACCAGUGUUAGCCCAACUGGAAAUCCCUGGCAGUCUGAUGGUUCAACUGGAUUUAAGGAAAGACCACCAGUUUUGUCAGGAUCUUGCACAGUUUUUCCUGCAAAGUGGAUUUUUUUUUUCCCACCUGUGAAAAGUGCUGACUUGGCAGUUUUGGGGCUGUUCCCUUUCUCCAUGGAGCUGCUCCAGAGGCAGGUGAAGGUGGGUGGAAGGAUUCCCUCUGCCCUGUGCCCUUGGCCAGCACAUUCCCUUCCCUGCUGUCACUGCUGUUGUCCCAGAGAGGCAAUCCCAGCAGAGGGCACUUGCUAGGGCACUGCUGACCUGCUGGAUUUGCCAGUGCCAGCUCCAAAAACCUCCAGCAAACCAGAGCAAACCAGGAUUGCUCCUUCCCAGGGCAGCUCCCAGCACGGAAACAAGCCCAGGGAUCAUUUUUUCCACAGGAUUUAGAAGAGGCCGCUCAGAUCUGAAGAAAACCUCCAGAUUUAAGAUGUGUUCUGCCUCUGCCAUCACAUUCCCACCCCUCUGCUCACAGCGUGGCUGUUCCAUAGGGGUAUCCGUGAUCCCAUGGGAUCUUCUCCCGAGGAGGAACCAGCAGUGCUUCUGAGCAAGGGCUGGCACUCACCCCAGCUGUGUCUGGCACCUCACUGACGAGGCAGGGCUUGGAGAAGCUCAUUCUUGGACUGCAGUGUCCAAAUUCCACUGCAGCCUUGGCUCCAGGAACGCCAGCCCUUCUGGGCCAAGGUCCUUCCGUGCUCAGCGCAGAGCACAAAGCACAAAAUCAUCACCUCUCCUCAGCCCUAGGGCUGCCAGGCAGGAAUAUGAAAUAUUCC